Non-coding RNA from Claviceps citrina, 74 nucleotides. NCBI's taxonomy places the organism in Eukaryota, Fungi, Ascomycota, Sordariomycetes, Hypocreales, Clavicipitaceae. The record is from the annotation of a GenBank genome assembly.
GCCCGGGUAGCUCAAUUGGCUAGAGCGUGGGACUUUUAAUCCCAAGGUUGGGGGUUCGAGACCCCCCUCGGGCG